This 23-nucleotide microRNA is filed under the name Oreochromis niloticus (Nile tilapia). Its description in RNAcentral is "oni-miR-10555". RNAcentral also lists the same sequence under 1 other name. Lineage: Eukaryota; Metazoa; Chordata; Actinopteri; Cichliformes; Cichlidae. The record is from miRBase by way of RNAcentral.
CCUCAAGCUGCUGUUGCUCGUCU